This 656-nucleotide unclassified non-coding RNA is filed under the name Hevea brasiliensis (rubber tree). The record is from RNAcentral. Lineage: Eukaryota; Viridiplantae; Streptophyta; Magnoliopsida; Malpighiales; Euphorbiaceae.
UUUCAUCAUCAUCCCCUUGUGUAAUAUAUCGCAAUUUCUGGAUAAUCGCACCAAAACUCCAGCUCAGAUCGCUAACAAGGUCCCUGUAUUCUGUCUUUAAUUUCAUGGCAACUGCUUCUUUGCUCGAAUCGAGCCCAUUGAAAUGGCGGCAGAGCCUCCCUAUCCAGUUAUCCCCGCCUCGUCCUCUUCCGUCUAUUCCUUAUCCCCUCCCUCUCAGACCUACUGAAUGCGGCGAUAACUUGACAAUUAAAGGGCUGAGCUUUGCUAAAUUCAGCGUUGAAUGCUCUUUCAUGGAUAAACUUUUAACGAAAUCGGAUAAUAAUGACCCAAGUUCAAGUUCGAGUUCGAAUUCCAAUCCCAAAUCCCCUGCUAGAUCUGUAACAAUCAACCCCUUUAAGAUCAUUUACAAUAUGAUCAUAAAAUCUCUUGAAGCGCUUAAAAAACCUGCAAUUGCAACUAUUUUAGUGGGGCUUUUAUUGAUGUACAACCCUAAUUGUGCAUUUGCUGCCUCCGGUGGGAGAAUGGGUGGGAGGUCUUUUUCCCAGUCAUCUUCAUUAUCGUCUAGAAGCUAUUCAGUUCCUCAUACGUCCAGUUCAGGGUUUUCAUACUCGGUGCCGUACUACGCGCCAUCGCCGUUGGGUGGUGGUGGUGGCGGC